AUACGGAGGGUGCAAGCGUUAAUCGGAAUUACUGGGCGUAAAGCGUACGUAGGCGGUUCGUUAAGUUAGAUGUGAAAGCCCCGGGCUUAACCUGGGAACUGCAUUUAAAACUGGCGAACUAGAGUUGAGUAGAGGGGAGUGGAAUUUCAGGUGUAGCGGUGAAAUGCGUAGAGAUCUGAAGGAACACCAGUGGCGAAGGCGACUCCCUGGACUCGAACUGACGCUGAGGUACGGAAGCGUGGGUAGCAAACGGGAUUAGAAACCCCUGUAGUCC
Molecule: ribosomal RNA, 274 nt
Filed under: uncultured bacterium
Lineage: Bacteria
Description: partial 16S ribosomal RNA
Rfam family: Bacterial small subunit ribosomal RNA
Source: RNAcentral